Molecule: transfer RNA, 63 nt
Filed under: Donacia flemola
Lineage: Eukaryota; Metazoa; Arthropoda; Insecta; Coleoptera; Chrysomelidae
Description: tRNA-Leu
Source: RNAcentral
UCUAAUGUGGCAGAAUAGUGCACUGGAUUUAAACCCCAUAUAUAAAGAUUACUUUUAUUAGAA